This 483-nucleotide ribosomal RNA is filed under the name Bacillota bacterium. RNAcentral describes it as "bacterial SSU rRNA". It matches the Rfam family "Bacterial small subunit ribosomal RNA", at positions 1052 to 1533 of the family's 1533-position model. The record is from RNAcentral. Lineage: Bacteria; Bacillati; Bacillota.
UCGUCAGCUCGUGUCGUGAGAUGUUGGGUUAAGUCCCGCAACGAGCGCAACCCCUUUUCCAUGUUGCUAACAGUUCGGCUGAGCACUCUUGGAAUACUGCCGGUGUAAAACUGGAGGAAGGUGGGGAUGACGUCAAGUCCUCAUGCCCUUUAUGUCUUGGGCUGCACACGUGCUACAAUGGCUUAUACAAAGAGUUGCGAUACUGCGAAGUGGAGCUAAUCUCUAAAAAUAGGUCUAAGUCCGGAUUGAAGGCUGAAAUUCGCCUUCAUGAAGUAGGAGUCGCUAGUAAUUGUGGAUCAGCAUGCCACAGUGAAUACGUUCCCGGGCCUUGUACACACCGCCCGUCACACCACGAAAGUCGGAAACACCCGAAACCAGUGUACCAACCGGUAACGGAGGAAACUGUAUAAGGUGGAGUCGGUGAUUGGGGUGAAGUCGUAACAAGGUAGCCGUACCGGAAGGUGCGGCUGGAUCACCUCCUUU